Molecule: ribosomal RNA, 428 nt
Filed under: uncultured archaeon
Lineage: Archaea
Description: bacterial SSU rRNA
Rfam family: Archaeal small subunit ribosomal RNA
Source: RNAcentral
UACCAGCUCUCCGAGUGGUAGGGAUGAUUAUUGGGCUUAAAGCGUCCGUAGCCGGCUUAGCAAGUCUCCUGUUAAACUCAGCGACCUAAUCGUUGAAUCGCGGGAGAUACUACUAGGCUAGGAGGCGGGAGAGGUCGACGGUACUUCUGGGGUAGGGGUGAAAUCCUAUAAUCCCGGGAGGACCACCAGUGGCGAAGGCUGUCGACUAGAACGCGCUCGACGGUGAGGGACGAAAGCUGGGGUAGCGAACCGGAUUAGAUACCCGGGUAGUCCCAGCUGUAAACGAUGCGGGCUAGGUGUUGGGAUGGCUACGGGCCAUUUCAGUGCCGCAGGGAAGCCAUUAAGCCCGCCGCCUGGGGAGUACGGCCGCAAGGCUGAAACUUAAAGGAAUUGGCGGGGAGCACCACAAGGCGUGAAGCUUGCGGUUC